GGUCUUUGCAAAUAAUUCUUUUUCACAGCCAAGACUUCUCUGAAGCACAAAGAUUCUCUGGAGGAUGAAAUCAUCCAACUCAGUCAAUAAACAUCUAUCUGAAGUAGUAACACUUUUUGUUUCUGCUUUAGAGGAGAUUGCUGAUACCAGACUCGAAGAACAUGAGCACUAUGAUGUGUCUGCUUCCCCUUCACCUUCCAUCAUGAUUGUAAGUUUCCUGAGGCCUACUCAGCUAUGAUUCCAAUACAGCCUGCAGAACUAAUAAAGAGCCAGAGGAGUUCUGCUUUCCCAUGACUUACAUCACUCUGCAGACAAUUGGCAGCCAGGAGACGGGCAGCUGCCGCAAUCUUCAGAUUUCUCUCUAUUUAAAGUUCAAAGAGACGCUGGAUAACAAAAGAAAGAGGUAAGCGUGGCCUGACCUAGCCACCCACCAACAGGAAUAAUGGCUGAAAAAGCGGGGUCUACAUUUUCACACCUUCUGGUUCCUAUUCUUCUCCUGAUUGGCUGGAUUGUGGGCUGCAUCAUAAUGAUUUAUGUUGUCUUCUCUUAGAAAGGCAAGAAGAUAUCAGAUUGACAUCAUUUAGAAGAAUUAAGAAAACUAUGAACAUGACUGAUUAUUAAAUGUCUCAUGUUAAACAAUGCAAUGUUUGACAUCACUUUACAAACUUGGAUCAUAAACUGGCACUUUGGAUCCAAACCAGGGUUCCACCACCAUGAUCUCAGCCAUGAUGUCUCUUUGGCUUCCUCCAAUCU
This 753-nucleotide long non-coding RNA is filed under the name Homo sapiens (human). RNAcentral describes it as "HSALNT0315529". Lineage: Eukaryota; Metazoa; Chordata; Mammalia; Primates; Hominidae. The record is from RNAcentral.